UAAAAAAUAACGCGCGGAUCAACCGUAUAGACGGCUUUCAUUGUGCGUGCGAACAGAGAAACAGUGCAGUUUUUUUGUGGUGUAUUUUUUUUCUUUUUAGAAAAGACAGUGUUUUGUUUCGGGUGAGGUACUCCGGAGUCGUGAUACAAGAACUUAGCAAAUUAAAAGUUUCCUAGCAAAGUGAAGUGUGUUCGAAGUUCCAUUAGCUGUUAUGAGAUCUCAAACAAGCUCUUAGAAAGAUAAAUUCAGUGCGUGUGCCCGUCAACCAUGCAGCAAUCCUCAACUCUAUGGUCGGAGCAGUUAUCUCACUCGCUACGAAUACAACCGGACACGUACCUAAACAGUUGAACCAACCAUGAUUAAGUAGCAUAAGACUGUUCUAAAAAUGAGCUUAUAAUUUAGGUAGAUGUCGGGAGAAAGGGAGAGGAUGCCUUACUACGGGU
Long non-coding RNA from Ostrinia nubilalis (European corn borer), 443 nucleotides. RefSeq lists it as uncharacterized. The transcript is spliced from 3 exons. The record is from RefSeq and is a predicted model, not a curated record. NCBI's taxonomy places the organism in Eukaryota, Metazoa, Arthropoda, Insecta, Lepidoptera, Crambidae.